CCAGACUCCUACGGGAGGCAGCAGUGGGGAAUAUUGCACAAUGGGGGGAACCCUGAUGCAGCGACGCCGCGUGAGUGAAGAAGUAUUUCGGUAUGUAAAGCUCUAUCAGCAGGGAAGAAAAUGACGGUACCUGACUAAGAAGCCCCGGCUAACUACGUGCCAGCAGCCGCGGUAAUACGUAGGGGGCAAGCGUUAUCCGGAUUUACUGGGUGUAAAGGGGGCGCAGACGGCGAUGCAAGCCAGGAGUGAAAGCCCGGGGCCCAACCCCGGGACUGCCCUUGGGACUGGGGGGCUGGAGUGCAGGAGGGGCAGGCGGAAUUCCUGGUGUAGCGGUGAAAUGCGUAGAUAUCAGGAGGAACACCGGUGGCGGAGGCGGCCUGCUGGACUGCAACUGACGUUGAGGCCCGAAAGCGUGGGGAGCAAACAGGAUUAGAUACCCCAGUACAA
Molecule: ribosomal RNA, 447 nt
Filed under: uncultured bacterium
Lineage: Bacteria
Description: bacterial SSU rRNA
Rfam family: Bacterial small subunit ribosomal RNA
Source: RNAcentral